GACGAACGCUGGCGGCGUGCCUAACACAUGCAAGUCGAACGGGACCAGGGGCAACUCUGGUUCAGUGGCGGACGGGUGCGUAACACGUGAGGAACAUGACCUUCGGCGGGGGAGUAGCCGGCCCAACCGGCCGGGUAAGUACCGCGUACGACCACAUGGGGACGAUCCCUGAGUGGUGAAAGCAGCAAUGCGCCGAUGGAGUGCCUCGCGGCCUAUCAGCCAGUUGGUGAGGUAACGGCCCACCAAGGCGACGACGGGUAGCUGGUCUGAGAGGACGGCCAGCCACACUGGGACUGAGACACGGCCCAGGCUCCUACGGGAGGCAGCAGUGGGGGAUCUUGCGCUAAUGCGCGAAAGCGUGACGCGGCGACGCCGCGUGGGGA
Molecule: ribosomal RNA, 383 nt
Filed under: uncultured bacterium
Lineage: Bacteria
Description: bacterial SSU rRNA
Rfam family: Bacterial small subunit ribosomal RNA
Source: RNAcentral